GACGAACGCUGGCGGCGUGCUUAACACAUGCCAGUCGAACGGAAAGGCCCUGCUUUUGUGGGGUGCUCGAGUGGCGAACGGGUGAGUAACACGUGAGUACCUGCCCUUGACUUUGGGAUAACUUCAGGAAACUGGGGCUAAUACCGGAUAGGAGCUCCUGCUGCAUGGUGGGGGUUGGAAAGUUUCGGCGGUUGGGGAUGGACUCGCGGCUUAUCAGCUUGUUGGUGGGGUAGUGGCUUACCAAGGCUUUGACGGGUAGCCGGCCUGAGAGGGUGACCGGCCACAUUGGGACUGAGAUACGGCCCAGACUCCUACGGGAGGCAGCAGUGGGGAAUAUUGCACAAUGGGCGGAAGCCUGAUGCAGCAACGCCGCGUGCGGGAUGACGGCCUUCGGGUUGUAAACCGCUUUCGCCUGUGACGAAGCGUGAGUGACGGUAAUGGGUAAAGAAGCACCGGCUAACUACGUG
This 467-nucleotide ribosomal RNA is filed under the name uncultured bacterium. Its description in RNAcentral is "partial 16S ribosomal RNA". It matches the Rfam family "Bacterial small subunit ribosomal RNA", at positions 28 to 507 of the family's 1533-position model. The record is from RNAcentral.